UACAGAGGGUGCGUGCGUUAAUCGGAAUUACUGGGCGUAAAGCGCGCGUAGGCGGCUUUUCAAGUCGAUUGUGAAAUCCCCGGGCUUAACCUGGGAACUGCAGUCGAGACUGUCUAGCUAGAGUAUGGGAGAGGGAAGUGGAAUUUCAGGUGUAGCGGUGAAAUGCGUAGAUAUCUGAAGGAACAUCAGUGGCGAAAGCGACUUCCUGGACCAAUACUGACGCUCAUGUGCGAAAGCGUGGGGAGCAAACAGG
This 253-nucleotide ribosomal RNA is filed under the name uncultured bacterium. RNAcentral's name for it is "partial 16S ribosomal RNA". It matches the Rfam family "Bacterial small subunit ribosomal RNA", at positions 524 to 776 of the family's 1533-position model. The record is from RNAcentral.